UCCAAAUGUUUGCUGUCGAAAUUGCAC
RNAcentral lists this non-coding RNA (27 nucleotides) under Rattus norvegicus (Norway rat). The record is from RNAcentral. Lineage: Eukaryota; Metazoa; Chordata; Mammalia; Rodentia; Muridae.